This 2901-nucleotide ribosomal RNA is filed under the name Klebsiella pneumoniae. Its description in RNAcentral is "bacterial LSU rRNA". It matches the Rfam family "Bacterial large subunit ribosomal RNA". The record is from RNAcentral. Lineage: Bacteria; Pseudomonadati; Pseudomonadota; Gammaproteobacteria; Enterobacterales; Enterobacteriaceae.
UUAAGCGACUAAGCGUACACGGUGGAUGCCCUGGCAGUCAGAGGCGAUGAAGGACGUGCUAAUCUGCGAAAAGCGUCGGUAAGGUGAUAUGAACCGUUAUAACCGGCGAUGUCCGAAUGGGGAAACCCAGUGUGAUUCGUCACACUAUCGUUAACUGAAUACAUAGGUUAACGAGGCGAACCGGGGGAACUGAAACAUCUAAGUACCCCGAGGAAAAGAAAUCAACCGAGAUUCCCCCAGUAGCGGCGAGCGAACGGGGAGCAGCCCAGAGUCUGAAUCAGCUUGUGUGUUAGUGGAACGGUCUGGAAAGUCCGACGGUACAGGGUGAUAGUCCCGUACACCAAAAAUGCACAGGCUGUGAACUCGAAGAGUAGGGCGGGACACGUGGUAUCCUGUCUGAAUAUGGGGGGACCAUCCUCCAAGGCUAAAUACUCCUGACUGACCGAUAGUGAACCAGUACCGUGAGGGAAAGGCGAAAAGAACCCCGGCGAGGGGAGUGAAAAAGAACCUGAAACCGUGUACGUACAAGCAGUGGGAGCACCUUCGGGUGUGACUGCGUACCUUUUGUAUAAUGGGUCAGCGACUUAUAUUCUGUAGCAAGGUUAACCGUAUAGGGGAGCCGCAGGGAAACCGAGUCUUAACUGGGCGUUAAGUUGCAGGGUAUAGACCCGAAACCCGGUGAUCUAGCCAUGGGCAGGUUGAAGGUUGGGUAACACUAACUGGAGGACCGAACCGACUAAUGUUGAAAAAUUAGCGGAUGACUUGUGGCUGGGGGUGAAAGGCCAAUCAAACCGGGAGAUAGCUGGUUCUCCCCGAAAGCUAUUUAGGUAGCGCCUCGUGAACUCAUCUUCGGGGGUAGAGCACUGUUUCGGCUAGGGGGUCAUCCCGACUUACCAACCCGAUGCAAACUACGAAUACCGAAGAAUGUUAUCACGGGAGACACACGGCGGGUGCUAACGUCCGUCGUGAAGAGGGAAACAACCCAGACCGCCAGCUAAGGUCCCAAAGUCAUGGUUAAGUGGGAAACGAUGUGGGAAGGCACAGACAGCCAGGAUGUUGGCUUAGAAGCAGCCAUCAUUUAAAGAAAGCGUAAUAGCUCACUGGUCGAGUCGGCCUGCGCGGAAGAUGUAACGGGGCUAAACCAUGCACCGAAGCUGCGGCAGCGACACUAUGUGUUGUUGGGUAGGGGAGCGUUCUGUAAGCCUGCGAAGGUGACCUGUGAGGGUUGCUGGAGGUAUCAGAAGUGCGAAUGCUGACAUAAGUAACGAUAAAGCGGGUGAAAAGCCCGCUCGCCGGAAGACCAAGGGUUCCUGUCCAACGUUAAUCGGGGCAGGGUGAGUCGACCCCUAAGGCGAGGCCGAAAGGCGUAGUCGAUGGGAAACAGGUUAAUAUUCCUGUACUUGGUGUUACUGCGAAGGGGGGACGGAGAAGGCUAUGUUAGCCGGGCGACGGUUGUCCCGGUUUAAGCAUGUAGGCUGGUUGUCCAGGCAAAUCCGGAUAAUCAAGGCUGAGGUGUGAUGACGAGGCACUACGGUGCUGAAGUAACAAAUGCCCUGCUUCCAGGAAAAGCCUCUAAGCAUCAGGUAACAUCAAAUCGUACCCCAAACCGACACAGGUGGUCAGGUAGAGAAUACCAAGGCGCUUGAGAGAACUCGGGUGAAGGAACUAGGCAAAAUGGUGCCGUAACUUCGGGAGAAGGCACGCUGGUGUGUAGGUGAAGCCCCUGCGGGUGGAGCUGAGACCAGUCGAAGAUACCAGCUGGCUGCAACUGUUUAUUAAAAACACAGCACUGUGCAAACACGAAAGUGGACGUAUACGGUGUGACGCCUGCCCGGUGCCGGAAGGUUAAUUGAUGGGGUUAUCCGUAAGGAGAAGCUCUUGAUCGAAGCCCCGGUAAACGGCGGCCGUAACUAUAACGGUCCUAAGGUAGCGAAAUUCCUUGUCGGGUAAGUUCCGACCUGCACGAAUGGCGUAAUGAUGGCCAGGCUGUCUCCACCCGAGACUCAGUGAAAUUGAACUCGCUGUGAAGAUGCAGUGUACCCGCGGCAAGACGGAAAGACCCCGUGAACCUUUACUAUAGCUUGACACUGAACAUUGAGCCUUGAUGUGUAGGAUAGGUGGGAGGCUUUGAAGCGUGGACGCCAGUCUGCGUGGAGCCAACCUUGAAAUACCACCCUUUAAUGUUUGAUGUUCUAACGUUGGCCCCUGACCGGGGUUGCGGACAGUGUCUGGUGGGUAGUUUGACUGGGGCGGUCUCCUCCCAAAGCGUAACGGAGGAGCACGAAGGUUAGCUAAUCCUGGUCGGACAUCAGGAGGUUAGUGCAAUGGCAUAAGCUAGCUUGACUGCGAGCGUGACGGCGCGAGCAGGUGCGAAAGCAGGUCAUAGUGAUCCGGUGGUUCUGAAUGGAAGGGCCAUCGCUCAACGGAUAAAAGGUACUCCGGGGAUAACAGGCUGAUACCGCCCAAGAGUUCAUAUCGACGGCGGUGUUUGGCACCUCGAUGUCGGCUCAUCACAUCCUGGGGCUGAAGUAGGUCCCAAGGGUAUGGCUGUUCGCCAUUUAAAGUGGUACGCGAGCUGGGUUUAGAACGUCGUGAGACAGUUCGGUCCCUAUCUGCCGUGGGCGCUGGAGAAUUGAGGGGGGCUGCUCCUAGUACGAGAGGACCGGAGUGGACGCAUCACUGGUGUUCGGGUUGUCAUGCCAAUGGCACUGCCCGGUAGCUAAAUGCGGAAGAGAUAAGUGCUGAAAGCAUCUAAGCACGAAACUUGCCCCGAGAUGAGUUCUCCCUGAGACUUUAAGUCUCCUGAAGGAACGUUGAAGACGACGACGUUGAUAGGCCGGGUGUGUAAGCGCAGCGAUGCGUUGAGCUAACCGGUACUAAUGAACCGUGAGGCUUAACCUU